RNAcentral lists this ribosomal RNA (339 nucleotides) under uncultured Alcaligenaceae bacterium. RNAcentral describes it as "bacterial SSU rRNA". It matches the Rfam family "Bacterial small subunit ribosomal RNA", at positions 1035 to 1382 of the family's 1533-position model. The record is from RNAcentral. Lineage: Bacteria; Pseudomonadati; Pseudomonadota; Betaproteobacteria; Burkholderiales; Alcaligenaceae.
CAGGUGCUGCAUGGCUGUCGUCAGCUCGUGUCGUGAGAUGUUGGGUUAAGUCCCGCAACGAGCGCAACCCUUGUCAUUAGUUGCUACGAAAGGGCACUCUAAUGAGACUGCCGGUGACAAACCGGAGGAAGUGGGGAUGACGUCAAGUCCUCAUGGCCCUUAUGGGUAGGGCUUCACACGUCAUACAAUGGUCGGUACAGAGGGCUGCCAACCCGCAAGGGGGAGCCAAUCCCUUAAACCGAUCGUAGUCCGGAUUGAGGUCUGCAACUCGACCUCAUGAAGUCGGAAUCGCUAGUAAUCGCGGAUCAGCAUGUCGCGGUGAAUACGUUCCCGGGUCUU